RNAcentral lists this transfer RNA (84 nucleotides) under Myxococcales bacterium. RNAcentral's name for it is "tRNA-Leu". It matches the Rfam family "tRNA". From Rfam's summary of the family: Transfer RNA (tRNA) molecules are approximately 80 nucleotides in length. Their secondary structure includes four short double-helical elements and three loops (D, anti-codon, and T loops). Further hydrogen bonds mediate the characteristic L-shaped molecular structure. tRNAs have two regions of fundamental functional importance: the anti-codon, which is responsible for specific mRNA codon recognition, and the 3' end, to which the tRNAs corresponding amino acid is attached (by aminoacyl-tRNA synthetases). tRNAs cope with the degeneracy of the genetic code in two manners: having more than one tRNA (with a specific anti-codon) for a particular amino acid; and 'wobble' base-pairing, i.e. permitting non-standard base-pairing at the 3rd anti-codon position. Lineage: Bacteria; Pseudomonadati; Myxococcota; Myxococcia; Myxococcales. RNAcentral also lists the same sequence under 1 other name. The record is from RNAcentral.
GCCGGGGUGGCGGAAUGGCAGACGCAGGCGACUUAAAAUCGCCCGUGGAAACACGUGUGGGUUCGAGUCCCGCCCCCGGCACCA